CGGCCUCGGGCCUGGGUGCCCCGUGCGGGGUGCGGGAAUCGGGAGGCGCCCCCCGCGCUGCUGUCCUCCGAGCCCCCGAAGGGGUGGCGGCGGGGCCUGCGCCCGAGGACAGUGCAGCGUCUGCAGCCCUUCGUCUCAGGCGUCUUGGACAAUCCGGGAGGGCUCCCUGGAGAAGGUGACGGCUUUGCAAUGAUAGCGCUUUGCUUGCAGCGCUCUCGCGGAUCCCGACACCAGGGAGGGACCGUGCAUCUUGGCGAGGCGCUUCAUCUCCCAGUCGGCCCCGAUGCUCAGCGUAAGCUCCAAAAACUCGGGAAGGGACCUCGGCCUGCCUCCACGUGCGGAACUUCAGACCUGGCCUUCUCGGUGGUUCCUAACCGGGACGGGCAGAGGCGAGGGGAGCAGAGGGUGGGGUUGACAGCAGCCCCGAAAGCAGCACAGGCUCUCAGAUGGCGGCUCUGCCGUGGAAGGGGCUCCCCAGAGACGGGGAGUAGCAUUACGGGCUCGUGCAAGAGGACAUCAGGACUGCGACCCUCUCCGGGAACUGCACCCUGCUUUAGCUGUCCCCCACUGGGUCCCUGGAGUGGACAAUGGCCCAGGAAGUGGGCUCCGCCAGGACCCUGCCCCCUCUGACAAAGGGAGGGCCCUGGUAGAGCCAGUGGCCUCUUCCUAAAAAACGGGAGCCGGCACCUGCGUGCCGGACCCGGCUGCCCCGCCCUGGACGGUGGCGUCCCCCACACCCUCGGAACCUGCUUCCGUCAGGCUGCGGAACAGACUCGACUUCCGCACCCCGGGAUAGCCGAGCCUCAGGUGAGUCUCUGGCACAGGUAAGAACAUGGGAGGCCCGUCCUCUGCUCUCCCUGAACUCCCAGGGCCUCGGUUUCCCUCUCCUACCCCCAUCUUCCCAGGGAAAAGGUAAAAUGCACCCCCUGUGCGUUCCGCAGCUUCUCCGUAGCUGGGAGAUAAAGUCUUCGCCCACCCUCAGUGCAGGCGUCCUCAAACUACGGCCCGCGGGCCACAUGCGGGUGUUUUUGCCUGUUUGUUUUUUUACUUCAAAAUAAGAUAUGUGCAGCGUGCAAAGGAAUUUGUUCAUGGUUGUUUUUUUUAAACUUCAGUCCGGCCCUCCAACGGUCUGAGGGACAGUGAACUGGCCCCCUGUUUAAAAAGUUUGAGGACCCCCUGCUCUAGUGCUCCCAAUUCCCCCACUGGGAGAAGAUCUUAUAGCUUCCCCCUUCCUCUGACUUCGGGAAGAAGCUUAACUAGAAAUCUGCAUGCGGCAUUUUCCCUGGGAUGCCCUGAGCCUUCAACUCUAGGACCUUCUGCCUUGUUCCACCUAAGACUGUCUGCCUCUGUAUGUCUGUAUGCCUGCGUGUCCACACGUGUCAUGUGCAUGUGAUGUGUCACUACCGAAAUGUGUAAGAGAGCUCUAAUUGAUUGGCUUAAAGAAAAAAUAAGCACUUACAUCAGAUUUUGUUAAGAACAUUGAGAGAACUCAAAUGCCUCUUAGUUCAUGGGGCCUUGGUAACCUUUGAUAAAACUGGUUUUAAAAUUGUUAUUUUUAUUUUUAUUUUUUUUGAGACAGAGUCU
This is a long non-coding RNA of Microcebus murinus (gray mouse lemur), 1584 nucleotides long. Lineage: Eukaryota; Metazoa; Chordata; Mammalia; Primates; Cheirogaleidae. The record is from Ensembl.